UUCCUCUGUAGUUCAGUCGGUAGAACGGCGGACUGUUAAUCCGUAUGUCACUGGUUCGAGUCCAGUCAGAG
RNAcentral lists this transfer RNA (71 nucleotides) under Klebsiella pneumoniae subsp. pneumoniae Ecl8. Its description in RNAcentral is "tRNA-Asn". It matches the Rfam family "tRNA". From Rfam's summary of the family: Transfer RNA (tRNA) molecules are approximately 80 nucleotides in length. The record is from RNAcentral. Lineage: Bacteria; Pseudomonadati; Pseudomonadota; Gammaproteobacteria; Enterobacterales; Enterobacteriaceae.